AAAAGUAUAUAGGAGUUGUAGAAGUUAAUUAAAGAGCCAUCGCUGUGAUAGUUGUGAGCCAGGGUAAGCUUGGUGCUACCUCUUUUCUUUUGUUUGUUAUUUUCUUUGAAUAAGAAGAUUGAGAGUUUUUUAAUACUGUGAAGUGAAUUAUGGAAUGGAAAUGCGAUUGGUAUUAUUUGAAAAGAAGAAAGAUUGAAUGCUCAAAUCUCAUUGUAGUUCAGCAGAGAGAAUGAGUCUGUGUUUGUGUAAAACAUAGUAUUGUGAAUGACAGCUCUGUAUGAAGAAUUCUAGUGAUUGGAAUGACGAUAAUUGUAUGCUGAAAGCUAUGAAGGCAGAGUAUUACAGUUGGAGAUUAUGAGAAUGAAUAUAUUGGUGGAAAUAGCAGUUAUUGAUAUGACUAAAUUGUUGUAAGGAAGAGACCGAUAAGGCGAAGGAGGAGAUUAUAGUUUCCUUAUGUGUUCAGAUAUUAAAAAUAGAGACAAUACAUUCAGAAGGUAAUUGAUUGUGUGAUCCUAAUGUGAACGCUUAAGCAACUAGUCAUUCCCCGUGUUUGAAACCUCCUAUAUGAAUUUAUUCUGAGAGGUUUCUUCUAGAAUAAGUAAAACGAGCAAUCACAUUUUGGCGCUGCUCCCGAGGAGUGAUAAUAGCUUUGAAUGUUAGGAAUUAAUUAUCAAACAUGUGAAAAAAUUGACAAUGGAAGACAAUUUUAGUAGUGUUUGAAGCAAGAUUAUGAUUAAUAAGAACGAGAGCAUUGUAUCGAGGAAAAUAAAUCAGUUGAGAGAAAGACAGGGAAGAGUACAAGGAAGGAGCUUGCUUAAAUAGGAGCAAGAACGUAAUCUUAAAAAGAAGCAUCGACAAAAUUGGAUUAAACCAUGGUUGCAAGCUUGUCGGUGCAUCCAAACAUAUCAAGAAUCGGAUAGACUGUUAAUUUUGCAGUCAUAUGUACUGUUAGAAAAACUGCCAAGAACACUUGUAGGAAAUUUUGUUAACAUUUCAGUGCAAAUCUUGAGGCCGUUAACUGAAAGAGAAGGAUGCGUAGAAGAAUUUGGUACUCCAUUGGGUAUUUUUUCAAUAAGGGAUACCGCUCAAACGAGCAAUAGGGGCUCUUCAGAUUGGCACAAAUGGAUCGCUAAUAAAGAUAACUAUAUUAUAUUUCAAAAUCUGACGUUUUCACUUGCAAUUCAACCAAUAAAACUAUUUGCAAAAAAUAAUAGUAAAUCAAAGAGCACUAAGAGCUCGAAAAUUAGAAUAAGGAAAAGCAGAGAUUAUUUUAAAAUGGAGUUUAGUGGAACAAGAAAUUCAAUGGCAUCUGGAGGACCAGCCAUUCCAAUUGCACUACAAAUGGGUGUAGUAGGCGAUCGUAUGACUAAUAUUAUGCUACUACCUACUUUUCGGGGAUUUCCGGGUACAGAUCCCGAUCAAUAUUUGUCUCAAUUUCUUAUAGCAUGUUUAGCUAAUAAUGGUAGAAUUGAAGAUAUUUGGUUGCGAUGGCUGCCAUCGACCUUAAAAGAUACAGUGUUUGAAUGGUACAACCCCCAAUCAGUGGAUCAAUUUUCGAAUUGGAAAGCAUUGAAGAAUAUAUUUUUAUCUCAUUUUCAGCCAAUUACUUUUAAGGACCACCUUCGAGAGAGGUUAAUGAAUAGCAAAAUGAUCCUAGGGGAGGCGGUGGAAUCAUACUAUGGUUGAGUGGCUGAUAUACUCAGUAAGUGGCUGAAUCACCAAAUGUCGGAGGUAUUUAUCUUAUCGAUAUUAAUCAAUGGUUUGCACCCACUAGAGCUAAAAAUGUUUGUAGAAGAAGCUCAAACCGUUACGAUGGUUGCGUCCCUUAAUAGAGCCAAGGUUUCAGAGGAAUGUAUCACGGCCAUAAUCAUGUAAGCUAAUAAUUACAUAUAGAAAUAGGUAGAAGUAAGUAAAAGUAGAUAAAAGUAAGUUAAUUAUAUAAUAUUUAAUAUAAAAGCUUCCUAGAAACUUCUUAGACGCUGCUUUGACUUCAUAGGUGUCUUUAAUUGACUUUUUGGAUUAGAAACGUGGUCAACAAGUUGGCCAUGUGCCACACAUGUUGUUAGCUUGAAGAUCAAGCUAACUAUGUGGCCCACACGUAGAAAAACUUGCCUUGUAAGUCAAGGCAUGUGUCCUACAAAGUCAACACAUAUUGGAGGUCCUAUAGAACGUUGCCACAUAGAUAGUAUAUAUAAAGACAAGAGUGAAGGCUUCUUCACUCUUGUCAACUCCUUUCUUGCUUCUAGUCCAGGUUCAAGAGUCUUUAGUUUCUUGUCUUGUGGCAAUAGCCAUUCCAGUUUCUUUUUAAUAUACCUACUUGUUUAUAUUUUGACUUAUUAUAUCGAGAUAGCCUUUUGGUGUAUAUUUUUCCUCAUCGAGUCUUUGUCCUUGACAGAUUGACAAGAGUACACUUACAAUAUCAGAGUUUUGUUUUCUCUUGAGUAAGAGUGGAUUACCCCUUUCUCUUGACAAGACAUAAGCGUAUUAGAAGUUUGCGGAUUACCCACUUCUAAACUGAUAUUGUUCUUAGUAUCUUCUUUGUUAUCAAGUCUUUCUUUUCUUUUGUCUUGAGCAAUAUCAAACAAAUUUUUCUUCUUAGUGUCAUUAUGGCAGAACUUGUUGAAAUGAAGAGUGCAAUGGCACAAAUGCAAGAGCAAAUGAGGGAGUUAAUGCUUGCGAUGCAUCAACUCAAUUUACCAACACAUGAAAGAACAAGAAUAGCAGAAAGUGGAGAUAUAGAGAUGAUCGGAGCUGCUUCAACAUCUACAAAAAAUCACGUUCCUUCUCCAAUUGUACAACACCCUAUAAGCACUAGAGAACCAAGAAUUGCCUUACCUGAGAAAUUUGAUGGUACGAGAUCAAAGUUUCGAGGGUUCAUCAAUCAAGUACAAUUGGCAAUUGAACUUCAACCGCAAAGCUAUCCAACUCCAGGAUCACAAGUCAGGUUUAUUGGCACUCUACUUUUUGGUUCUGCAUUAUCGUGGUUUUCGUCUUUUCUUGAACAACGAAAUCCAAUAUUGGACAAUUUGGAAGCUUUUUUGGCGGAGUUUCGAUCUAUGUAUGGUGAACACGAUGCAACUCGUGUUGCAACAAAUAAGAUCCGAAUUCUGCGACAAGAAAAUCGCUCAGUAACAGUAUAUGCUUCACAAUUUCGAUAACUUGCAAUUGACAUCAAGUGGGAUGAUGCUGCACUCAUCAGUCAAUUUCUUUAUGGAUUGCAAUACGAAGUAAAGAAAUUGAUGCUCAACUUACCUGAUCCUCAAACUUUGAGUCAAGCAAUCGAUUUUGCGGUAAAAUGUGAUAAUCGACUUUUCGAUCUUUUGAAUUUUGAUCUGAGAAUGUGAUAAUCUUUUGAAUUUCGAUCUGAGAAUCAUUCACGGGAACCUCAACGUUAUUACUCAAUGGCAACAUCAACAUCUUUACCAAACGUACGUUCGGAAGUAGAAGACAUGCAAAUUGACGCGGUACGUUUUAAACCUCUAACUGAGCAAGAAAAGAUUCGUCGUCGUCAAGAAGGAUUAUGUUUAUAUUGCGGAGAACCUAAGCACACUGCUCAACAUUGUCCAAAGAAACGACGCAACUAUAAAAUGAGGGGUACGACGGUCAAAGAAGACAACAUGUCAGAAAACGGAUUCGUCCAGCUACAAUAGGGACCGUGCAGCUGAAACCUUGUACAAUUCCUAAUGAAGGUCCUAUCCUCUCCUCAGAACCCUCUCCUUGUUUUAUAAUAGACUUAUAUUUAGGACCUAAGAAUUACAAAGCCUCUGCUUUAUUAGAUUCGGGAGCCUCAGCAUGUUUUCUAGAUGAACAAUUUGUUAAAAGUCGUAAAAUACCCUUUGUACAGAAACCUAAACCAGUACAUGUAGAAGUCAUAGAUGGUCGUCCCUUGUCUUCUGGAGAUGUCACUCAUGAAACUCAUCCUAUAAAAGUAACAAUAGAUGGUCAUGAUAGCUACAUAGCUUUUAACAUAAUUAAAUCCCCGUCCAAUCCAGUUAUUUUAGGUUUAUCCUAGCUAGAAAAAUAUAACCCUCGAAUAAAUUGGAAUUCGCGUAAACUUGACUUUUCCAAAAGCAUUAUUAAUAGUUCUACGAACCAAGUAAAAAAUUAUAAGUCUAGUACAGUAAAACCCGUACUGAUAGGUGCAAAAGCAUUUAUACACGCAGCAAAAGAAGGAUCAACUUUUGCUAUUUAUGUUGCACCUAUUUCUGAAAACGUAAAGACUUCAAGUGGCAUUCCAAGUCAAUAUCAGGAGUAUCAAGACGUUUUUGAGAAAAAGAAUGCAGAUAUUCUUCCUGAGCAUCGUCCAUAUGAUUGUUCAAUCGACCUCAAGGAAGGAACUCAGCCACCAUUUGGACCAAUUUACAGUUUAUCGCAAGAUGAGAUGGCUGAACUCAAGACAUAUAUUGACGAGAAUUUAGCGAAGAAUUUCAUACGCCAUUCAAAAUCUCCAGCAGGAGCUCCAAUUCUAUUCGUAAAGAAAAAAGAUGGAUCUUUACGAAUGUGUGUUGAUUAUCGAGGACUCAACAAGAUCACAAUCAAGAACACGUAUCCAUUUCCUUUGAUAUCAGGACUCCUUGACCAGUUGAAUCAAGCUAAGAUCUAUACAAAAAUAGAUCUAAGAGGAGCAUAUAAUCUAGUACGGAUCAAAGAAGGAGAUGAAUGGAAGACUGCGUUUCGAACCAGGUAUGGACAUUUCGAAUAUAAUGUCAUGCCCUUUGGACUCACGAAUGCACCAUCUGCUUUUCAACAUCUCAUGAAUGAUAUAUUUCGUGAAUUCUUAGACAAUUUUGUCGUCUGCUAUCUAGACAAUAUCCUGAUCUAUUCCAAGAACGUCGAAGAACAUGAAAUACAUGUUCGUCAAGUAUUACAAAAACUUAGAGAUGCAGGAUUGUACGCCAAGAUCGAAAAGUGUGUAUUUCACACUACUCAAGUUGACUUUUUAGGAUACAUCAUUUCAAAUGAUGGUCUCAUGAUCGAUUCUAAGAAAGUCCAAACAAUCGUGGAUUGGAAGAUUCCAAGGACGGUAAGAGAUGUCCAAUGUUUCUUGGGAUUUGCCAAUUACUAUCGGAUCUUUAUCAAAGAUUUCUCACGAGUUGCAGCUCCACUUACACGCUUCACUAGUAAAGAUAAAUUUCAAUGGAAUCAAGAAGCGGAAGCAGCAUUUGAAGCCUUGAAGACAUCGUUUAUCUCUGCACCAGUCUUAUAUCGUGUUGACUUUUCCAAGGCAUUUUUUAUGGAAACAGAUGCAUCAGAUUUUGCCUUGGGUGGAGUUUUAUCACAAAUGGGAACAGAUGACAAACUUCAUCUGAUAGCUUUUCAUUCAAGAAAAUUCUCAGCAGCCGAGAUCAAUUAUGAGAUCCACGAUAAAGAACUUCUUGCGAUCGUGGAUUCCUUUCAAGAAUGGCGUCAUUAUCUAGAAGGUGCUUCUAGUCCAGUCACUAUAUAUACAGAUCACAAGAACCUCGAGUAUUUCAUGUCAGCACGCGUGUUGAAUCGUCGUCAAGCUUGUUCGAGUAUGUCUUGUCAAGAUUCGAGUUCAUUAUCACUUAUCGGCCAGGAAAACAACAAGGUUUAUCCGAUGCCCUAUCUAGACGUUCUUAUUUUGCACCAAAAGAAGGAGAUGUAGCUUUUGAGCAACAAAGAACGGUCCUCUUGAAACCGGAGCAAUUUCAUCUUCGAGUAAUGAAAUCAACAUUGACUGUUGAUUCAACUUUUCUCAAGCAAAUCCAGUUCAGUAUGUCCUCAGACCCUCUUGUUUAUGAUAUCGAGAAUAAUUCUUCCAAGUCUCAUGAUCUUUCUAAGUUCGAGUUCAAGAAUAAUCUAUUAUAUUUUGAAAGACGCCUAUAUGUUCCAGAAGGAGAAGCACGUUUACGUGUUCUUCAAGCACGUCAUGACUUUCCAGCAGCAGGGCACUUUGGAUAUAAUAAGACUUUGGAACUCAUAUCAAGAGAUUUUUAGUGGCCACAAAUGUGGAAGUCAGUCAAAGACUUUGUACAAUCAUGUGAUAUUUGUUCAAGAUCAAAAAUUCCUCGUCAUCGACCUUACGGACUUCUUCAGCCAUUACCUAUACCAGAACAACCAUGGUCUUCUGUUUCUAUGGAUUUCAUCACAGAUCUUCCAAGCUCAAGAUCUUAUGAUUCUAUAUUUGUGAUAGUAGAUCGUUUCACCAAGAUGGCACAUUUUGUGCCAUGUACAAAAUCCAUCACAGGUGAAGAAACAGCUAAGCUUUUCAUUGAUAAUAUCUAUCGCUAUCAUGGAUUAUCUAAAGAUAUCAUAUCGGAUAGGGGAACUCAAUUUGUGUCAAGAUUUUGGAGGACCCUUUUCAAGAUUUUAAAAGUGAACAUAAAGCUAUCUUCGGCUUUCCAUCCUCAAACUGAUGGACAAACAGAGCACGUAAACCAAGUCUUGGAGCAAUAUUUAAGGUGUACUAUCAACUACCAACAAGAUGAUUGGACAACCCUUCUGCCAUUGGCAGAGUUUGCUUAUAAUAAUACGGUACAUUCUUCCACGUAACAAACACCUUUCUUUGCCAAUUAUGGCUAUCAUCCACGACUUGAUACUUUUGAUUUUUCAAAAGUUGAUAAUCCUGCAGCAAAAGAUAUGGCAAAUCGGUUGUCAGAGUUACAUGCAAUAAUGAAGACACAAUUGAAAGAAGCUCAACAAUGACAAAAGAUAAACGCAGAUCUAUAUCGUAAGGAGCAACCACAAAUCAACGUGGGUGAUAAGGUAUGGCUACUUCGUCGCAAUAUCAAGACUACUCGACCUUGUGACAAGUUGGACUAUCGUAGGCUUGGCCCCUUUUCUGUUUCUGAACAGAUCAACCCAGUUGCAUAUCGGUUACAUCUACCGGAGUCAAUGAAGAUCCAUCCUGUAUUCCACGUAUCUCUUCUUGAACCAUAUAAGACAGUGGAUAUACAAGGAAGAAGACAAAUGCCACCGCCUCCUAUAGAAGUAGAUAAUAAUGAAGAAUUUGAGGUGGAAGAGAUAUUAGACUCAAGGCGACGCCGAAAUAAGCUGGAAUAUCUUGUUCAUUGGCGCGGAUAUGAUAUUAGUGAACGCACAUGGGAGCCAUCCAGGAAUCUAGCAAAUGCAUCAGCUAAAGUCAAAGUUUUUCAUCAACGACAUCCAUCAAAACCAAGAUGAAAAUCUCUCUUAUAAAAGAGAGAAGAUUGAGGCAAGAUAACAUUCAAUUUCCUAUCCUUGUUUGUAACUUCUUUACAUUUGUGAUGCUAAUUAGAUGGAGAGCCAACAACCAGUGGAUUCAACUCAAGAACCUUCGUUUGCUGACCUGCCGGACGAGACAUUACGAUUGUCACAACCUUCAAGACGACUCAAUCGAGAUGAAGAUCUUCAAGAACGACAUGUUCUUCCUCGAACAGAUGGUGAGAUACAACGCGUUUGGUAUCAUGAUUUGGGAAGGGACUCCCGAUGUUUGGUGAUUUUGCUAGAGGUAGGAACAACUCCUGAUGGUGUUCCGAAUAUUCUAUUCGAAGGAAGUUAUGAAGGCCUCAAUAAUGAUCAAAUAACUGGGUGGUCUUUCCGCCCUGGUAUGAGACACUACCGAUGGUUGAGAGGCCCUAUCAAUCAUCUUUGAAGAGAACAGAGAUCAGAGUAUGUGGCGAAUACAAUUCGUCGCAUCAUAGAUUUCCUCAACAUAUGAUGACCGCUCCUCGUGGAACUCGUCUCUAGAAGGGGGGAUAAUGUCACGGCCAUAAUCAUGUAAGCUAAUAAUUACAUAUAGAAAUAGGUAGAAGUAAGUAAAAGUAGAUAAAAGUAAGUUAAUUAUAUAAUAUUUAAUAUAGAAGCUUCCUAGAAACUUUUUAGACGCUGCUUUGACUUCAUAGGUGUCUUUAAUUGACUUUUUGGAUUAGAAACGUGGUCAACAAGUUGGCCAUGUGCCACACAUGUUGUUAGCUUGAAGAUCAAGCUAACUAUGUGGCCCACACGUAGAAAAACUUGCCUUGUAAGUCAAGGCAUGUGUCCUACAAAGUCAACACAUAUUGGAGGUCCUAUAGAACGUUGCCACAUAGAUAGUAUAUAUAGAGACAAGAGUGAAGGCUUCUUCACUCUUGUCAACUCCUUUCUUGCUUCUAGUCCAGGUUCAAGAGUCUUUAGUUUCUUGUCUUGUGGCAAUAGCCAUUCCAGUUUCUUUUUAAUAUACCUACUUGUUUAUAUUUUGACUUAUUAUAUCGAGAUAGCCUUUUGGUGUAUAUUUUUCCUCAUCAAGUCUUUGUCCUUGACAGAAUGCCAUUAUGAUCAAUUUUUAACUACCGAAGCCACGAUGAUUCCAGUUCAAGGUAGAUAUCAAAAUCUGACUUAGAACGAAUCAGUGAGUAGUUAUCUACGAAUAUUAGAAAAGGGGCCAAUUCCAAUACCAAUAUUUAGGGGCAGUUAAUGUCAGCUCAUUGUAAGCUAUACCAUUGAACGUAACAACAGCGUAUGCUCCAUAUUUUUUGUAUCAACAACAAGCAUUAACUUCGGCAUAGAUAUCAAUAAUGCCAGCCCUAAAAGAUUCCAAUGAAACCUUAUUAUUAAAUUUGACGAAGAAAAUGGAGGAAAUGGUAGUCAAUAUGGCCAAAGAUAAGGAGAAGAGGCAAAACCCUAUCAAUACUAAGACCAAUGUAUGGUGCAAUAAUUGUAAGGGCCACGGUCAUUCUGUAACAGAAUGUCCCUCAUCCUCACAAAUAAUGGGUCAAUGUACAUUUUGCGGAGGAAAGGACCUAACAUCAAAUUGUUGAAAUUGGCAAAGACAACAACAACAAUUUAGUAAUCAGACCAUGAUCCCACCAACCCAGUGGGAUAUCAAUCAAGUGUAAACGGAAAAUACGUUUGGAUGGAAUUAAAAUCGAUUUAAUAGACAAAAUUGAGCAUUCAAUAACUUUCAAAGUUCCAAUUUUAAUCAGGGGUCUGCAUCGAACCUCCAGAACUAUGGUAAGGAGCAGCAGAUGUAUCAGCAAUAUGCUCCACUGAUGUCAUCAAACCAAGUUCCCUCAGUACCAAUAGGACAACCAGGAUCAUUUUGUAACCCUACAUGGAACAAGCCUAGUAGUUAUAUACCAGUAGACACACCCAUUAUCCUUGAAGGAGUUGACAGGAGAUAACUUCGUUGCUAUCGUUGCAGAUAAAUUGGACAUUAUACGAGUGAAUGUCCUAAUCUAAGGGCCAGUGAUGACUAUACUCCAAUAUGUGGAAAUUAUAAGCAGUCUAGUCAUACUUAUCAAUAGUGCAAUGCGCCCUUUAAUUAUAAUAACCGGGACCAACAAAUACAAAUAAGCCAACCGGUGGAGGACAAAGGCCCUAUUCAACGAGACUCACUAGUACAUCAUGUCGAAGUGGUGAACGUAGUGCUUACCAAAGGCCAACAAAUAGACAAGAAUCUAAUUCAAGACUUAGAUGAAUCAAUCGCAGAAAAGCAAGUAGUGCCGUCCAUGGAGCUAAACGAACCAAUAUCAGUAUUGAGACGUAUCCCGAUAUUGAGACCUCAACAGACUGAGGAACUCAAUUCGGUUCCACAUGCCAAUUUACCAGGACCAUCUAGAACGAUCCAAACUGACCAAUUAUCAAUAUCUAUACAACCCAAUAAAAGAUCUUAUACAUUAAAGGAACCUUUAGUGGUAGAAAAGUUGGCAAAGUUACCAGUGGCAAUCCCAAUCGUCAGGAAGGAAUUACUGUCAAACGAAGUAAAAUUGAAACCAAUGAAAUGCAAAAGAGCAUUAAAAAUUACUCUUAAUAUGGAACCCUACGACAUUCUGAAGGAUUUGGAUGUUAUACAACCUUAAAUUAUAAUGAAGCAAAUUUUGGCUGUAGCAUCGGAAUGUCGAUCUACAUUGAAUUCAGCGCUAACACGACAAAGAUUCUACACUAAAGAAAUUCAUGAAGUUAGCUUAAUCCCAGAUCCGGGAGCACCAACAGUUGAUGUAUCAAUCGAUGGCAUUUUAAUUCCAGGGGUACAAGUCGAUGGUGGCUCCAGUGUGAAUUUAAUGAACGCGGAUAUAAUAGAGGACUUGGAUCUAAAGUAAUUGCUACCUACGACAUUUGUCUUGCAAAUAACAGAUCAUAGUCGUGUAAAGCCAAUGGGAAUCUUACGUAAUAUUGCCACUGUAAUCGUAAGAUUGACAUACAAAAUCGAUUAUAUUGUAUUCUGAUUACAAAGUUCUACAUUAUUGUUUCUUAUUUUAUUGGGCAGACAUUGACUUUAUCAAGCCAAAGCUAAGAACGAUUGGGGCUGAGGAACAUUGACAAUUGGAAAAGGCCGUGACCAGAUUAUUUUACAGAUGUACCCGAUACAAUAUCAUGAAGAAUCUCAAUUGCCAGAAUCAGAAUUUACAUUUGACAACAAGAGUCAAUCGAUUGAGGCAGAUGACAAUGCUAUAAGUUUACUGCAAUUUUGGAAUAGGACAAAAUACUUCAACAGCAAAGGUAGGAGUCUACCAAUGUAGAAGUUCUAACAAAUAUUUACUACAUCAAGACGAUGCGACUAACUCUGAUCAUGCUAUUGUCGAAUGGAUGAACAAUCUCACAGUCAAUAGAGUCAGUACAUUGGAACUAGAUUUGGAUGGUUCCCAUAUGAUGGAUAAUACAAGAUAUUCAGAUCAAGAGAAGACAAUUAAAUCAGAGGUUGUUGAAGACCAUGUGUGUCAAUCUAUUAACCUGGGCACCAACGAAAUAUCACAGCUAAUUAAAAUAUAUGCCAGUAUUAUCGAUACAAAAUUGGAUGCUUGGAAACAAUUUUUUGUCCAUCACAAAUCUGCCUUUGUGUGGUUGUAUGUGGAUUUGAAAGGGAUUCUAGCUGAUGUGUGUGAGCACCAGAUUAUUUUGGAGGAGGGUGUUACGCCAGUUCGGCAGAGGCAACAUCGCCUUAACCCAAAAUAUUCCCUUUUAGAGAAAGAAGAAUUGAAGAAACUUCUUGACAUGGGUUUUAUUUAUCCUGUUCCGCAUAGUGCAUGGAUGUUGCUAAUCGUGAUAGUAUCGAAGAAGAAUGAAAAAAUCAGGAUAUGUCAAGAUUUUUGAAAGUUAAAUGCGGCCACCAAGAAAGAUUACUUUUCAUUACCUUUCACAAAUAGUAUGGGUAAUAUGUUGUCAUUACCACUAGGUAGUAAAAGAAUAGGAGUGCGGCACCAGUUAAAGUCAUUUUUUGGUGUUGUUUUGGGUUGGCUGGAGUGCCAUUUUCUUGUAUUUCUUGUGUUUUUGAGAGUAGUAGUUUCAAAUAAGAGUUAAUAGUGAGGAGCCGGUCACAAGUGUCGAUUGAAGAUAUUCUAGAAUAGAUGAGUCAGCAGCAACAAUUGAAACUUCAGGAUGUCCAGAUCUUGAAACUGGAAGCUCAAGUCCAUGAACUGGGUGAGUAUAAUGAAGAUCUAUCAAACCAGUUGAGGAAGGAGUCGAUGGACUAGAGAAAGAAGAAGAAGAUUUACAAUUGGAACCAGAUUUGGUCGAACCUACAUUCGAUAAUACAACAAAUGAUUAAUUAGGUGGGCCAGAGGAACUAGUAACUUUGUGGAGAUUUAUUAAGUAGUUUUUAGAUAGGUAUCAAUUAAGUGUUUGCAAGGACGCUGCACAGAUAGAAGUGGGGCUAUGUAGAAUAGAUAUUAAUUUAUUUUUGAAAGAUAUUGAUAAAAUAUAUUAAUAGUUCAUAUAAUAGGAAGUUCAGGAGAACGAAUGAGUGAUUUAGUUCUUAAAAGCGAUUAAUUACAAAAUUACAAUUAGAAUCUGGAGAAUCAAGGAAAAGUAUAUAGGAGUUGUAGAAGUUAAUUAAAGAGCCAUCGCUGUGAUAAUUGUGAGCGAAGGUAAGCUUGGUGCUACCUCUUUUCUUUUGUUUGUUAUUUUAUUUGAAUAAGAGGAUUGAGAGUUUUUGAAUAUUGUGAAGUGAAUUAUGGAAUGGAAAUGUGAUUGGUAUUAUUUGAGAAGAAAAAAGAUUGAAUGCUGAAAUUUGAUUGUAAUUCAGUAGAGAGAAUGAGUCUGUGUUUGUGUGAAACACCGUAAUGUGAAUUACAGUUCUGUGUAAAGAAUUCCAAUGAUUGGAAUGAGGAUAAUUGUGUGCUGAAAGCUAUGAGAGCAGAGUAUUACAGUUGGAGAUUAUGAGGAUGAAUAUAUUGGUAGAAAUAGCAAUUAUU
Molecule: long non-coding RNA, 12110 nt
Filed under: Physcomitrium patens
Lineage: Eukaryota; Viridiplantae; Streptophyta; Bryopsida; Funariales; Funariaceae
Description: long non-coding RNA (PPAT_LNC011469)
Source: RNAcentral